This 504-nucleotide long non-coding RNA is filed under the name Callithrix jacchus (white-tufted-ear marmoset). Its description in RNAcentral is "lncRNA (ENSCJAG00000073787.1)". Lineage: Eukaryota; Metazoa; Chordata; Mammalia; Primates; Cebidae. The record is from RNAcentral.
GACUGAUGUUUAGGUCGUGAUGGGGGAAGGGUGAUGAGAGGGAGCACUUGCUAUAUUGAAUGAAUGGGUGAAUAUCUAAUUGAUGGAAUAAAGGUGGGGGAAAUAAUUUUGAGUGUAGGGAACAUAUGAUAGGGGUCAUUGAAAGAAGAAACAUCUUUCCAGACCUGCUUACCUCCGUCCUCCCCUGCACAGCCUGGCCUGAGCUGCAUCCUUAAACCAUCUGUGCUUGGUGGCCUAGAAUCUAGAAAGCGUGACGCCUACCUACAAUGGAGACAAAGAUAUUUCUGGCAAGAUAUGGAGAGAAAGUCCCUUCAGUGAAAAAAUGCAAGGCUGUUCUUGACUGCUUUAACAGAGUCUUACUCUAUUGCCCAGGCUGGAGUACAGUAGUACAAUCUCAGUUGACUGCAACCUCCACCUCCCAGGUUCAAGUGAUUCUCCUGGAUCAGCCUCCUGACUAGCUGGGACUACAGGUACAUGCCACCACACCUGGCUAAUUUUUUUAUU